ACUCCUACGGGAGGCAGCAGUAGGGAAUCUUCCACAAUGGGCGCAAGCCUGACGGAGCAACACCGCGUGAGUGAAGAAGGGUUUCGGCUCGUAAAGCUCUGUUGUUAAAGAAGAACACGUAUGAGAGUAACUGUUCAUACGUUGACGGUAUUUAACCGGAAAGUCACGGCUAACUACGUGCCAGCAGCCGCGGUAAUACGUAGGUGGCAAGCGUUAUCCGGAUUUAUUGGGCGUAAAGAGAGUGCAGGCGGUUUUCUAAGUCUGAUGUGAAAGCCUUCGGCUUAACCGGAGAAGUGCAUCGGAAACUGGAUAACUUGAGUGCAGAAGAGGGUAGUGGAACUCCAUGUGUAGCGGUGGAAUGCGUAGAUAUAUGGAAGAACACCAGUGGCGAAGGCGGCUACCUGGUCUGCAACUGACGCUGAGACUCGAAAGCAUGGGUAGCGAACAGGAUUAGAUACCCUGGUAGGAUAGCG
RNAcentral lists this ribosomal RNA (473 nucleotides) under uncultured bacterium. Its description in RNAcentral is "bacterial SSU rRNA". It matches the Rfam family "Bacterial small subunit ribosomal RNA", at positions 335 to 801 of the family's 1533-position model. The record is from RNAcentral.